UACGUAGGGGGCGAGCGUUAUCCGGAAUUAUUGGGCGUAAAGAGUACGUAGGUGGUUUUCUAAGCGUGGGGUUUAAGGCAAAGGCUUAACCAUUGUUCGCCCCAUGAACUGGAGGACUUGAGUGCUGGAGAGGAAAGCGGAAUUCCUAGUGUAGCGGUGAAAUGCGUAGAUAUUAGGAGGAACACCAGUGGCGAAGGCGGCUUUCUGGACAGUAACUGACACUGAGGUACGAAAGUGUGGGGAGCAAACA
Molecule: ribosomal RNA, 250 nt
Filed under: uncultured prokaryote
Description: partial 16S ribosomal RNA
Rfam family: Bacterial small subunit ribosomal RNA
Source: RNAcentral